CAGGGUGUGGUGUAGUGGUCGCAUGGCUGCCUUGGAAGCAGGCGGACGCAGUUCAAUUCUGCGCACCCUGA
Molecule: transfer RNA, 71 nt
Filed under: Mycobacterium phage Wildcat
Lineage: Duplodnaviria; Heunggongvirae; Uroviricota; Caudoviricetes; Vilmaviridae
Rfam family: tRNA
About the family: Transfer RNA (tRNA) molecules are approximately 80 nucleotides in length. Their secondary structure includes four short double-helical elements and three loops (D, anti-codon, and T loops).
Source: Rfam by way of RNAcentral